UACGUAGGGUGCGAGCGUUGUCCGGAAUUACUGGGCGUAAAGAGCUUGUAGGCGGUUUGUCGCGUCUGCUGUGAAAUUUCGGGGCUCAACCCCGAACUUGCAGUGGGUACGGGCAGACUAGAGUGUGGUAGGGGAGACUGGAAUUCCUGGUGUAGCGGUGAAAUGCGCAGAUAUCAGGAGGAACACCGGUGGCGAAGGCGGGUCUCUGGGCCGAUACUGACGCUGAGGAGCGAAAGCGUGGGGAGCGAACAGG
RNAcentral lists this ribosomal RNA (253 nucleotides) under uncultured bacterium. Its description in RNAcentral is "partial 16S ribosomal RNA". It matches the Rfam family "Bacterial small subunit ribosomal RNA", at positions 524 to 776 of the family's 1533-position model. The record is from RNAcentral.